UCAAUGACCUCAAAUCAGAUGAGAAUACCCACUGAACUUAAGCAUAUCAAUAAGUGGAGGAAAAGAAACUAACAAGGAUUCCCUCAGUAAUGGCAAGUGAAGAGGGAAGAGCUCAGUUUUGAAAUCUGGCAGUCAUUCCACUGUCCAAGUUGUAAAUUGAAGAGAAUGUCAUCCACACUGGACCAUGUCUAAAUUGUAAUAAUCCACAGUCCUUUGAUGGAGUAUCAGAGAGGGUAAUAAUCCUGUCUUUAAUGUAGACCACCAGUGUUUAUAUGUGAUGCACUCUCUCAGAGUCAAGUAGUUUGGGAAUGCUGCUCUAAUGGGAGGUAAACUCCUUCUAAAGCUAAAUAUUGGUGAGAGACCGAUAGCAAACAAGUACCAUGAGGGAAAGAUGAAAAGAACUCUGAAAAGAGAGUCAAACAGAAUGGGAAAUUGCUGAAAGGGAAGCGUUUGGAGUCAGAUGCAUCCUCAAUGUAAUACGGCUCAGUUGGCAGAGACUGAGAGCAGUGACUUGAAGAUGGGCCAGCACUCAUGUAGAUCAUUGGAGAAGGGGUCAUGGAAUGUAGCUCAAUUCUUGAGUGUUUAUAGACUUGAUUCAUAUACAAUGUGUCUUAUGUGUGUUAAUUGACAGCACAAGUCUUGACUCAGUGCUUGACUGGCAUAAUGGCUCUAAGCAACCCGUCUUGAAACACAGACCAAGGAGUCUAACAUGUAUGUGAGUAUUAGAGUGAUUGAAACUCUGAAUGCGUAAUGAAAGUGGUUCUUGACUGAGAAUCCUCAAUUAUGGGAGGUAUCAGUACCCUGAGUCUGUUAGUCUUUGACUAAAGAUUUGGAGGUAGAGCAUAUAUGUUGGGACCCAAAAGAUGGUGAACUAUGCCUGAAUAGGGUGAAGUCAGAGGAAACUCUGAUGGAGGCUCAUAGCGAUUCUGACAUGCAAAUUGAUCGUAGAAUUUGGGUAUAGGGGCAAAAGACUAAUUGAACCAUCUAGUAGCUGGUUCCUGCCGAAGUUUCCCUCAGGAUAGCAGAGACUGGAAAAACUCAGUUGCAUGGGGUAAAGCGAAUGAUUAGGGAUCUUGGGGGUGGAAUACCCUCAAUCCAUUCUCAAACUGUGAAUCUGCAUGGGCACAGGAUCCCUUACUUAAUUGAAGGACCUGUUGAAUGUCAGUCUCUAGUGGGCCACGUUUUGGUAAGCAGAACUGGCAAUGCGGGAUGAACCAAACAUGAGGUUAAAGUGCCUGAAUACACACUCAUCAGAGACCAUGAAAGGUGUGAGUCCGUCCAGACAGCAGGACGGUGGCCAUGGAAGUUGGAAUCUGCGAAGGGGUGUGUAACAACUCACCUGCCAAAUGGACUUGCCCUGAAAAUGGAUGGUGCUCAAGUGUGUUACUCAUACCUCACCAUCAAUCAUUGGACUGAUUGACAAGUAGGCAGGCGUGAGGGUCAAUCAUCGAAGCUCAGGAAGUGAUUCCGAGUGGAGAGGCCUUCAGUGCAGAUCUUGGUGGUAGUAGCAAAUAUUCAAGUGAGAACCUUGAAGACUGAAGUGGAGAAAGGUUCCAUGUGAACUGUGAUUGACCAUGGGUUAGUUGAUCCUAAGAGAUAGGUUAAAUCCUGAAUCAAAGAUGAGCUUGAUUAUUCAAGUUACCUAUCAAAAGGGAAUUUGGUUAAGAUUCCAAUACCAGGUUUAAGAGAUCCUCGAGAUAUGAGGGGUCUAUGGAAGCAGUGAUGCCACUGAAGUUGGAGACAAUGGCAAAUGCCCUAGGGAGAGAUCUCUUCUCUUCAUGACAGUCCAAGGACCUGGGUUAAUGAGAUUGACUCGAGAACAGGUUUGGUGAUUGGAACAUGCUUGGUGUCUCCAUCGAGUCUGGAGUGCAUUUGACAUCCCUUGAAAAUCCAAUGGAAUGCUAAGACCCCUCCCUGAUUGUACUCAUAACUGCAUCAGGUUUCCAAGGUUAACAGCCUCCAGUUGAUAGAACAAUGUAGAUAAGGGAAGUCAGCAAAUUAGAUCCAUAACUUCGGGAUAAGGAUUGGCUCUAAGGAUCGGUGGGUUGGGUCCUGAGUCUCAUGUCCCAAGUUGCUUGUAAGUCCACUGAGGUGGGUUUAAGGGUAGAGCCACCGAUUGGCCUACUGCUUGGGGCUGAGCCAGAGGGGCUGGUCUUUCAAGGGCCACCAAUUCAUGUAUCAUCAAUCAACUUAGAACUGGUAUGGACCAGGGGAAUCUGACUGUCUAAUUAAAACAUAGCAUUGCAAUGACCUGAAAUAGGUGUUGACACAAUGUGAUUUCUGCCCAGUGCUCUGAAUGUCAAAGUGAAGAAAUUCAACCAAGUGUGGAUAAACGGUGGGAGUAACUAUGACUCUCUUAAGGUAGCCAAAUGCCUUGUCAUCUAAUUAGUGACGCACAUGAAUGGGAUUCCCACUGUCCCUAUCUACUAUCUAGCGAAACCACAGCCAAGGGAACAGGCUUGGCAGAAUCAGCAGGGAAAGAAGACCCUGUUGAGCUUGACUCUAGUUUGGCAUUGUGAAGAGAUGUAGAGGGUGUAGAAUAGGUGGGAGCCUUCGGGUGCUGGUGAAAUACCACUACCUCUAUUGUCUCUUUACUUAUUCAAUGAGGUGAACAAAAAGUACAGGGGGAAGUGCCUCGAUUCACCUUCAAGCACUCAAGGUCUUUAGCAGGCCGAUUCAGGUCGAAGACAUUGCCAGAUGGAGAGUUUGGCUGGGGUGGCACAUCUGUUAAAUGAUAAUGCAGGUGUCCUAAGGGGGGCUCAUUUAGAACAGAAAUCUCAAGUAGAGCAAAAGGGCAAAAGUCCCCUUGAUUUUGAUUUUCAGUGUGAAUACAAACCAUGAAAGUGUGGCCUAUUGAUCCUUUAGUCCCUCAGAGUUUGAGGCUAGAGGUGCCAGAAAAGUUACCACAGGGAUAACUGGCUUGUGGCAGCCAAGCGUUCAUAGCAACAUUGCUUUUUGAUCCUUCAAUGUUGGCUCUUCCUAUCAUACCGAAGCAGAAUUUGGUAAGUGUUGGAUUGUUCACCCACUAAUAGGGAACGUGAGCUGGGUUUAGACCGUCAUGAGACAGGUUAGUUUUACCCUACUGAUGAACUAUUGUCGCAAUAGUAAUCGAACUCAGUACGAGAGGAACCAUUCAAUCAGAUAGUUGGUAAUGUGGCCGCUUGACAAGGCGAUGCUGUGAAGCUAUCAUCUGCCCAGAUUAUGACUGAAAGCCUCUUAAGUCAGAAUCCAUUCUAGAUAGGCAACAAUAAAUAUUGCCCCUGCAUUAUGUGAGUGUCACAAACUGUGCACAGCCACCGGUCACGUGACAUCCCACAGCCGUGCACGGACCUUUUCCAUGUGC
This 3343-nucleotide ribosomal RNA is filed under the name Craterellus lutescens. RNAcentral's name for it is "eukaryotic LSU rRNA". It matches the Rfam family "Eukaryotic large subunit ribosomal RNA". The record is from RNAcentral. Lineage: Eukaryota; Fungi; Basidiomycota; Agaricomycetes; Cantharellales; Hydnaceae.